AUUGAACGCUGGCGGCAGGCCUAACACAUGCAAGUCGAGCGGAUGAAGGGAGCUUGCUCCUGGAUUCAGCGGCGGACGGGUGAGUAAUGCCUAGGAAUCUGCCUGGUAGUGGGGGAUAACGUCCGGAAACGGGCGCUAAUACCGCAUACGUCCUGAGGGAGAUAGUGGGGGAUCUUCGGACCUCACGCUAUCAGAUGAGCCUAGGUCGGAUUAGCUAGUUGGUGGGGUAAAGGCCUACCAAGGCGACGAUCCGUAACUGGUCUGAGAGGAUGAUCAGUCACACUGGAACUGAGACACGGUCCAGACUCCUACGGGAGGCAGCAGUGGGGAAUAUUGGACAGUGGGCGAAAGCCUGAUCCAGCCAUGCCGCGUGUGUGAAGAAGGUCUUCGGAUUGUAAAGCACUUUAAGUUGGGAGGAAGGGCAGUAAGUUAAUACCUUGCUGUUUUGACGUUACCAACAGAAUAAGCACCGGCUAACUUCGUG
This 484-nucleotide ribosomal RNA is filed under the name uncultured bacterium. Its description in RNAcentral is "partial 16S ribosomal RNA". It matches the Rfam family "Bacterial small subunit ribosomal RNA", at positions 30 to 507 of the family's 1533-position model. The record is from RNAcentral.